UGUGACCAGGAGCAAGAAUAGAUAAAGGGUCAUAAGCUGAUUUUCUCUGUACAAAGGCUUCCCAGCGCCUCGGACCAAAAUGCGCCCGCCACUGUUCCUGUGUCACAUAAUGAGGAUUGAAGGUUUUGGUUACUUCAAGGCAAUAAAGUGUUCUUCCAUCUGAUACAAAUUCUUUGGAAUGAACUGGGUCCUGUGGAUCAAAGGAGACCCUCCAGUUGUUCAGCAGACCUGUCCUGUUCUUGAUCACCAUUCCUUCUAUGUAAUCAAAUGUCUUUUCUGCAGAUAUCAGCUUCUCCUGGUCCCGAGUGAAGGCGAAGAAAUCCGAAUAGAGAACCCGAAUCCACUUCACCUGUCAACAAAAACAACAGACAAUCUUAAUUAAUUAUCGCGCCACGACUUUGUUAUGCUUAUGUUGCAUGUUAGAAUGUUGUUUUUACCAUCUUUGGUGCAGGCUCUAAUGAGAUUCUUGCUUUAGUUAUGAUCCCAAACUGCCCAAGCCCUCCCAGAACUCCAUGGAAGAGGUCUGCAUUCUGCUCUUUUGAACAAUUCACCACUUCCCCUUUUCCUGCAAUCAUUUUGGGCACGUGUUAAUGCUUUCCUUUUUUGUGAUAAUUCUGCAGAUAUUAGUCCUAUGAAACUAUGGUCUUCUGGUGUCUAUAGUGGCACACAAAAGUCAAGUUCCAACUCAUAUAACCAUUCUUAUUAUUAUCAUUAUUAUUUUUUCACUCAAGCAUGCAUGUUGCUUUUGACUGUUGUCUACGUGUGCUCCAUCUCAACUAAUCCAUGACCUUUGGCAUGGCGUUGACUCUGAUAUCAAAUUGAAGUGUGUGCUCUAGCUCAACUAAAAGUUUAAGCUGAUAGUUGGAUUGCACAUUUAUGUUUAUAUAUUAUAUGCUCAACAGUCUUUGAGACCACAUCACUACUAUACAAACCUGUGACAACCUCGAGCUGAUGAACAUUGCUGAUCUGAGGGCCAUGCCGGAAUGCCUGACCGCUAAUCCCGGCAUUAGACAAGGUGCCACCCACGGUGAUAUGCAGGUAAUCCGUCCAGGAUUUGGGGGCCAAUCCAUGUUUCAGAGUCUCAUGCAACACAGUUAUCCAUAGCUCCCCAGCACAGACAUCAACAAAGGGGGACUCUCCUGCAGUGUGAACACGAAGCUCGCGCCCGCCCAGGGCCUCCAUGCUUAUUAUGAUGCCUUGCUGGGACUGCGAUUGGCCCUGGAGGGAAUGGCCGUGGCCCCGGGCCGUGACAGUGAGGCCGGAGCCGGGCCCCAUUCGCCACACAUGCUUGAUUGUCUCGGCAAUAUCUGCAACAGACUUUGGGUGCAGCACUGCCAGAGGGUGGAAAUGGUACCUGUUCCCAAAAUCCCGGGCCGCAAACUCGUUGUUUUCGAAGGUGAAAUGGCCCUCGAGGCGAAGCGCCUCGAGGGAAGAAGAAGAAGAAGAAGAAGGGACAGUGGAGAAGCAGAGAUCAAAAUCAAUGAUUAUGCAGCUUGAUAACAAGAUUAUUGUGAAGCUUCUUAUGAAGAAAAGACUGGUGGAUGGGUAUCCCAUUUUGCUUUCUUUUUGCACUUUAAGAAGUUGUUUUUUGUUCUGGAAAAAGGCAGAGAGAGAGAGAGGAGAGAGAGAAGGGUUUGUGAUCUCUCUCAAAGUAAAAGAGAAAAAAAAGUAGAGGUAUAGAACAAGAGGUGCAAGGUAGGAUGAAGAGUGGAGGAGAAUGGCAUGCAUAUAUAUAUAUAUAUUUAAAGAGGAAAAAUUUUGGGUGGCAUAGUCAACUAAUCUUGGGUGGUAAGCAUCCGUAUGAGGACUGUCUACUUUGAGUGGGAUACGAGUUAACUUUUUUCUGCUUCUUUUGGGUGUGCAUAAGGGGAAGUCAUCACAUAUGUCAAGUUGACGAAGAAACACAUGAAUAAGUCUGGUGUGAGAUCGUUUUAUUUUUAAUUUUUAUUUAUUUUUUUUACGUUACUUGCUAUAGUAUUCAUUGUUAUAUCAAACACUUAUCAUUAUAUAAUAAAUUAUAGGUGAUAGCAAA
Ipomoea triloba (trilobed morning glory) is the source of this 2032-nucleotide long non-coding RNA. RefSeq lists it as uncharacterized. The transcript has 2 exons. The record is from RefSeq and is a predicted model, not a curated record. NCBI's taxonomy places the organism in Eukaryota, Viridiplantae, Streptophyta, Magnoliopsida, Solanales, Convolvulaceae.